ACUAAAAUGGCAGAUAAAAUUAAUGUGAGGAAUUUAAGCUUCCUAUAAGCUCAAGGCUUUUAGUA
RNAcentral lists this transfer RNA (65 nucleotides) under Blattisocius tarsalis. RNAcentral describes it as "tRNA-Leu". Lineage: Eukaryota; Metazoa; Arthropoda; Arachnida; Mesostigmata; Blattisociidae. The record is from RNAcentral.